GCACUGGUGGUUCAGUGGUAAAAUUCUCACCUUCCAUGUGGAAGACCCAGGUUCAAUUCCUGGCCAAUGAA
This 71-nucleotide transfer RNA is filed under the name Loxodonta africana (African savanna elephant). It matches the Rfam family "tRNA". Rfam says of the family: Transfer RNA (tRNA) molecules are approximately 80 nucleotides in length. Their secondary structure includes four short double-helical elements and three loops (D, anti-codon, and T loops). Further hydrogen bonds mediate the characteristic L-shaped molecular structure. tRNAs have two regions of fundamental functional importance: the anti-codon, which is responsible for specific mRNA codon recognition, and the 3' end, to which the tRNAs corresponding amino acid is attached (by aminoacyl-tRNA synthetases). tRNAs cope with the degeneracy of the genetic code in two manners: having more than one tRNA (with a specific anti-codon) for a particular amino acid; and 'wobble' base-pairing, i.e. permitting non-standard base-pairing at the 3rd anti-codon position. The record is from Rfam by way of RNAcentral. Lineage: Eukaryota; Metazoa; Chordata; Mammalia; Proboscidea; Elephantidae.